This 63-nucleotide microRNA precursor is filed under the name Pristionchus pacificus. RNAcentral describes it as "mir-8364 microRNA precursor family". It matches the Rfam family "mir-8364 microRNA precursor family". Lineage: Eukaryota; Metazoa; Nematoda; Chromadorea; Rhabditida; Neodiplogasteridae. The record is from Rfam by way of RNAcentral.
UCUUCAUUCCUCGUGCUAUCUCACCGAUCAGAGAAGCCAGAGAGAGUGUGCGAAAUGAGGAGA